This 34-nucleotide ribosomal RNA is filed under the name uncultured Inocybe. RNAcentral's name for it is "partial 25S ribosomal RNA". The record is from RNAcentral. Lineage: Eukaryota; Fungi; Basidiomycota; Agaricomycetes; Agaricales; Cortinariaceae.
UCAAAUCAGGUAGGACUACCCGCUGAACUUAAGC